Long non-coding RNA from Mugil cephalus (flathead mullet), 414 nucleotides. RefSeq lists it as uncharacterized. The record is from RefSeq and is a predicted model, not a curated record. NCBI's taxonomy places the organism in Eukaryota, Metazoa, Chordata, Actinopteri, Mugiliformes, Mugilidae. The transcript is spliced from 3 exons.
GAAGAAGAGAAACGGAGCCGUCUGAGGGAUAGCGCGGAUCUUACCAGCACCGGAGUACCUUCACAGACCUCUUGUUGAAGACUUAAACGCGCGUGUGUGUCACUGGGAAGAAGGGAGGGGCUCAGGGAGGGCCCCAGGAAGGGGUGACUGGACGCUUCAUCACCCGAUGGCCAACCUCUCACAAUGAUGCAUGAAGCCCGGCAGGAUGCGGUGCAUGGACACACGCACAUGCACACACAACACCGGCACACACAUACACACUCCUACGGGAGGCACUUCAUCCAGUUCCAUAAACUGUGGUCAGGAGGGCUGGUUAAAAGAAAAGGCUGAACACAUGUUGAACAUCAGUGUGAUCAAAAUCGAAUGUGAUAAAAAUGAAAUGAAAUAAAAGUUACUUGAUGUUUUUACGUUCAA